Non-coding RNA from Variovorax paradoxus B4, 68 nucleotides. NCBI's taxonomy places the organism in Bacteria, Pseudomonadati, Pseudomonadota, Betaproteobacteria, Burkholderiales, Comamonadaceae. The record is from Rfam.
CGAGAGAGUAGAAGCGUUCAGCAGCGCACGCACCACCCUUGUGCGCUCGCCCGGAAAUUGCUCUUGAA